AUACUUACCUGGACGGGGUGAAUGGGCGAUCCAAAAGGCCCAUGGCCUACCUAGGUUGGUGACAUCCAUAGCACUUUGGAGGGGUGCCCACCUAAGGUCGGCCCACGCGGUCGAACCUAUGUCAUAAUUUGUGAUUGAAGGGGCCUGCGUUCGCGCGGCCCCUCU
Salvia hispanica is the source of this 165-nucleotide small nuclear RNA. RefSeq annotates it as U1 spliceosomal RNA. NCBI's taxonomy places the organism in Eukaryota, Viridiplantae, Streptophyta, Magnoliopsida, Lamiales, Lamiaceae. The record is from RefSeq and is a predicted model, not a curated record.